GACGAACGCUGGCGGCGUGCUUAACACAUGCAAGUCGAACGGUGAAGCGCCUUCCUUUUUGGUGGGUGUGGAUGAGUGGCGAACGGGUGGGUAACACGUGAGUAACCUGCCCCCUUCUUCUGGAUAACCGCAUGAAAGUGUGGCUAAUACGGGAUAUUCUGGGUCUGUCGCAUGAUGGGUCUGGGAAAGAUAUUGUUUCGGUGGGGGAUGGGCUCGCGGCCUAUCAGCUUGUUGGUGGGGUGAUGGCCUACCAAGGCGGUGACGGGUAGCCGGCCUGAGAGGGUGGACGGUCACACUGGGACUGAGACACGGCCCAGACUCCUACGGGAGGCAGCAGUGGGGAAUAUUGCACAAUGGGCGCAAGCCUGAUGCAGCGACGCCGCGUGAGGGAUGGAGGCCUUCGGGUUGUGAACCUCUUUCGCCAGUGAAGCAGGCCUGCCUCGUUUGUGGGUGGGUUGACGGUAGCUGGAUAAGAAGCGCCGGCUAACUACGUG
Molecule: ribosomal RNA, 494 nt
Filed under: uncultured bacterium
Lineage: Bacteria
Description: partial 16S ribosomal RNA
Rfam family: Bacterial small subunit ribosomal RNA
Source: RNAcentral